GGUCUGAUGGCCAGCUUAAAUCCUUAUUUUCCUCCUGCAAAAAGCGACACAACUAAUGUGCAAUUCGAUUCUACAUUCUAAGAGAUACAACUCAAGUUAUAUAUUUGAUUCAUGAUUCAAUGUCAUCUAAUUGUCUAAUGGUAAUAAUACAAAAUAUAAAACCGAUGGAUAAAGAAAAAUGUAGACGAAAACGGUCUUAAACCUGAUGAAACCAUAAACAUAAG
This 224-nucleotide long non-coding RNA is filed under the name Mytilus galloprovincialis (Mediterranean mussel). The record is from RNAcentral. Lineage: Eukaryota; Metazoa; Mollusca; Bivalvia; Mytilida; Mytilidae.